UACGAUUGAGCAUACGAUGUGCAGAAAUUUUUGGAAUUUUAGGAAUCGGUUUAAUUCCGAUAAUUGUAA
RNAcentral lists this transfer RNA (69 nucleotides) under Figulus binodulus. RNAcentral's name for it is "tRNA-Gln". The record is from RNAcentral. Lineage: Eukaryota; Metazoa; Arthropoda; Insecta; Coleoptera; Lucanidae.